RNAcentral lists this ribosomal RNA (497 nucleotides) under uncultured bacterium. RNAcentral's name for it is "partial 16S ribosomal RNA". It matches the Rfam family "Bacterial small subunit ribosomal RNA", at positions 28 to 507 of the family's 1533-position model. The record is from RNAcentral.
GAUGAACGCUGGCGGCUUGCCUAAUACAUGCAAGUCGAGCGAACAGACGAGGAGCUUGCUCCUCUGACGUUAGCGGCGGACGGGUGAGUAACACGUGGAUAACCUACCUAUAAGACUGGGAUAACUUCGGGAAACCGGAGCUAAUACCGGAUAAUAUAUUGAACCGCAUGGUUCAAUAGUGAAAGACGGUUUUGCUGUCACUUAUAGAUAGAUCCGCGCCGCAUUAGCUAGUUGGUAAGGUAACGGCUUACCAAGGCGACGAUGCGUAGCCGACCUGAGAGGGUGAUCGGCCACACUGGAACUGAGACACGGUCCAGACUCCUACGGGAGGCAACAGUAGGGAAUCUUCCGCAAUGGGCGAAAGCCUGACGGAGCAACGCCGCGUGAGUGAUGAAGGUCUUCGGAUCGUAAAACUCUGUUAUUAGGGAAGAACAAAUGUGUAAGUAACUAUGCACGUCUUGACGGUACCUAAUCAGAAAGCCACGGCUAACUACGUG